RNAcentral lists this ribosomal RNA (588 nucleotides) under Triticum aestivum (bread wheat). RNAcentral's name for it is "partial small subunit ribosomal RNA". Lineage: Eukaryota; Viridiplantae; Streptophyta; Magnoliopsida; Poales; Poaceae. The record is from RNAcentral.
AUGUGUGGCUCUGAUGGGGCUAAAGAGGGUUCCGUUGAUCAUGUGGAUUUUGUUGUGGAUGGGAUUGUUUUACUGGAUUCGUUGGCAAGCCCGCUGGUGUCUGCUAGUUGCUCUAAUCUUCCUACCCGCCCUUUGUCUCCCUCACUGUCUAUGAUUGUUGGUUCCCAUAAACAACACCUUUGCACCCUGAAGUUUCUGCCCCUAUCCCCAAGAAAAAAGACUUCGGUCAAGAAAUCCCCCCCUCGCAGUUGUCUUUCUGGGACCUCAAAGCAAUCUUCUGAUGGGCUGUUCCGCAUGCUUGAUGCUUAUCUAGGUGAGGUUGUUGGUGGUGACCACAGUGAGUAUAUUGCGACGUCUCCCACGACACGUUAUACAGCUAUGAAGACUCUUGUUUCUACUGCUCGCAAGAGUAGGCGCCCUUGCAUUGUUGGUGAAUCUGUUCUGGUGUGCAAUGAACGUCGUGCUGCAGACGACCUUGGCUUGUCAGUGAUCAUUGAGCAACUUGGCCAAGAACUCGCCCAACCUGAGGGUGGCCCACAUCAUAAUCAAAGAAGAUGGUGGUGGAUGAGACCGGUGCUGCUUUUGUGA